GUGCCAGCGGCCGCGGUAAUACAUGGGGUGCAAACGUUGCUCGGAAUCAUUGGGCGUAAAGCGCGCGUAGGCGGUUACACAAGUUGGAUGUGAAAGCCCUCGGCUUAACUGAGGAAGUGCAUCCAAAACUGUGCAGCUAGAGUACUAAAGAGGGUCGCGGAAUUCCCGGUGUAGAGGUGAAAUUCGUAGAUAUCGGGAGGAACACCGGUGGCGAAGGCGGCGACCUGGGUAGAUACUGACGCUGAGGCGCGAAAGCGUGGGGAGCAAACAGGAUUAGAUACCCCGGUAGUCC
Molecule: ribosomal RNA, 292 nt
Filed under: uncultured bacterium
Lineage: Bacteria
Description: partial 16S ribosomal RNA
Rfam family: Bacterial small subunit ribosomal RNA
Source: RNAcentral